CUUAGGAGCCAAUGAUGUUUUUAUUCAAAAUGUCUGAACCUGGCUGAAGUAUCCCAGAGUUGCAACCUCUGUGUAGUGCCGAGGCUUUUCUGCCA
Molecule: small nucleolar RNA, 95 nt
Filed under: Carlito syrichta (Philippine tarsier)
Lineage: Eukaryota; Metazoa; Chordata; Mammalia; Primates; Tarsiidae
Description: Small nucleolar RNA SNORD91 family (ENSTSYG00000035246.1)
Rfam family: Small nucleolar RNA SNORD91 family
About the family: The members of this family belong to the C/D class of snoRNAs which contain the C (UGAUGA) and D (CUGA) box motifs.
Source: Rfam by way of RNAcentral